RNAcentral lists this ribosomal RNA (471 nucleotides) under uncultured bacterium. RNAcentral describes it as "partial 16S ribosomal RNA". It matches the Rfam family "Bacterial small subunit ribosomal RNA", at positions 28 to 507 of the family's 1533-position model. The record is from RNAcentral.
GACGAACGCUGGCGGCGUGCUUAACACAUGCAAGUCGAACGAUGAAGCCUAGCUUGCUAGGUGGAUUAGUGGCGAACGGGUGAGUAAUACGUGAGUAACCUACCUUUAACUCUGGGAUAAGCCCGGGAAACUGGGUCUAAUACCGGAUACGACCAAUCUCCGCAUGGGGUGUUGGUGGAAAGCGUUAUGUAGUGGUUAUAGAUGGGCUCACGGCCUAUCAGCUUGUUGGUGAGGUAACGGCUCACCAAGGCAACGACGGGUAGCCGGCCUGAGAGGGUGACCGGCCACACUGGGACUGAGACACGGCCCAGACUCCUACGGGAGGCAGCAGUGGGGAAUAUUGCACAAUGGGCGCAAGCCUGAUGCAGCGACGCCGCGUGAGGGAUGACGGCCUUCGGGUUGUAAACCUCUGUUAGCAGGGAAGAAGAGAGAUUGACGGUACCUGCAGAGAAAGCGCCGGCUAACUACGUG